AGCAGCCGCGGUAAUUCCAGCUCCAAUAGCGUAUAUUAAAGUUGUUGCAGUUAAAAAGCUCGUAGUUGAAUUUCGGGAUCAAUACGUCGGUCGUGCUUCGGUACGUACUGGCGUAAUUGAUUUCUCCCUUCUGACGAACCAUGAUGUCAUUAACUUGGUGUCAUGGGAAAUCAGGACUGUUACUUUGAAAAAUUAGAGUGUUUAAAGCAGGCUCACGCUUGAAUACAUUAGCAUGGAAUAAUGAAAUAGGACGUUUGAUUCUAUUUUGUUGGUUUCUAGGAUCGACGUAAUGAUUAAUAGGGAUAGUUGGGGGCAUUAGUAUUCAAUUGUCAGAGGUGAAAUUCUUGGAUUUAUUGAAGACUAACUACUGCGAAAGCAUUUGCCAAGGAUGUUUUCAUUAAUCAAGAACGAAAGUUAGGGGAUCGAAGACGAUCAGAUACGUCGUAGUCUUAACCAUAAACUAAUGCCGACUA
RNAcentral lists this ribosomal RNA (473 nucleotides) under uncultured Glomus. RNAcentral describes it as "SSU rRNA". It matches the Rfam family "Eukaryotic small subunit ribosomal RNA", at positions 569 to 1048 of the family's 1831-position model. Lineage: Eukaryota; Fungi; Glomeromycota; Glomeromycetes; Glomerales; Glomeraceae. The record is from RNAcentral.